UACGUAGGGUGCAAGCGUUAAUCGGAAUUACUGGGCGUAAAGCGUGCGCAGGCGGUUUUGUAAGUCUGACGUGAAAUCCCCGGGCUCAACCUGGGAAUUGCGUUGGAGACUGCAAGGCUAGAAUCUGGCAGAGGGGGGUAGAAUUCCACGUGUAGCAGUGAAAUGCGUAGAGAUGUGGAGGAACACCGAAGGCAGCCCCCUGGGUCAAGAUUGACGCUCAUGCACGAAAGCGUGGGGAGCAAACAGG
This 247-nucleotide ribosomal RNA is filed under the name uncultured bacterium. RNAcentral describes it as "partial 16S ribosomal RNA". It matches the Rfam family "Bacterial small subunit ribosomal RNA", at positions 524 to 776 of the family's 1533-position model. The record is from RNAcentral.